This 213-nucleotide unclassified non-coding RNA is filed under the name plant metagenome. RNAcentral's name for it is "partial contains small subunit ribosomal RNA, internal transcribed spacer 1, and 5.8S ribosomal RNA". The record is from RNAcentral.
UUUCCGUAGGUGAACCUGCGGAAGGAUCAUUCAUAAUAAGUGUAUUAUGGCACUUUUUUAAAUCCUUAACCACCUUGUGUGCAAUGUCAGGCCUGACUUUUCUCUCGGGGGGACCAGACCAAAACAUCAACUAUAUCCCAACUGUUUGUCUGAAAAAUAUUAUGAGUAUAACAAUUCAAACUACAACUUUCAACAACGGAUCUCUUGGCUCUC